GUGGGGAAUAUUCCGCAAUGGACGAAAGUCUGACGGAGCAACGCCGCGUGAGUGAUGAAGGUUUUCGGACUGUAAAGCUCUGUUGUUUAGGACGAAAGUGCCUGUUGCGAACAGUUACAGGUAUUGAUGGUACUAAACGAGGAAGCCACGGCUAACUACGUGCCAGCAGCCGCGGUAAUACGUAGGUGGCAAGCGUUGUCCGGAAUUAUUGGGCGUAAAGAGCAUGUAGGCGGAGAUUUAAGUCUGUUGUGAAAAUGCGGGGCUCAACCCCGUAUUGCGAUGGAAACUGAAUUUCUUGAGUGCAGGAGAGGAAAGGGGAAUUCCCAGUGUAGCGGUGAAAUGCGUAGAUAUCGGGAGGAACACCAGUGGCGAAGGCGGCUUCCUGGCACAAUACUGACGCUCAUGUGCGAAAGCUAGGGCAGCGAACGGGAUUAGAAACCCGGGUAGUCC
RNAcentral lists this ribosomal RNA (450 nucleotides) under uncultured bacterium. RNAcentral describes it as "partial 16S ribosomal RNA". It matches the Rfam family "Bacterial small subunit ribosomal RNA", at positions 354 to 796 of the family's 1533-position model. The record is from RNAcentral.